Sesamum indicum (sesame) is the source of this 689-nucleotide long non-coding RNA. RefSeq lists it as uncharacterized. Lineage: Eukaryota; Viridiplantae; Streptophyta; Magnoliopsida; Lamiales; Pedaliaceae. The record is from RefSeq and is a predicted model, not a curated record.
CUCCAUGCUGGUGCCGACGUAGUCGCCCCUAACGCCAGACAGCUGCUUGAAGUUUGUCUUUCUGAGAGCAGAGCAGUCUUCUUAUGGCUCGUAAGCGUGGCUUAUCGGGACGCGGUUUGCACUGUUGCAAUCUACCCGACGAGAAGCAUCAAUCAACCGCAGGCCGACUCCCGACGCAGAACAUGAGGGAGAUCGCGAGCCAACGCUUCAAUCAAUCGUCAACAUGAAGAGCUGAAUCCUUUUUUUGGGAGAUAUGUGCUAUAAAAAAGUGGUCUGUUUCUUUCCUGUUAAAGGCACUGCAGUGGAGAUGUAUUUCCAGCUUGCUUCACUUUUGUGAUGUGCGUUGUCUCGACUCUCGUGGCCAGCCUACUAGUUCCACUCCUACAUCCUGCGCCAAUCCAUCCCCAUUUUAUUCGCCUUUUUUCUUCAUUACGUGUCAAUAUUUGGCUCCACAAUCAAUGUAUUUUUUUUAAAGCUAUUAUUAGUAGUAUUGUUGUUGUUGUUAUUGCAUCUAUAUAUGAUCUUUCAUAGUUGACCUCUUUAUGUAAAUUAUAACAUAAUAGGAUACAUUUAACAGAUUCAUGUAAGUAACGGAAUACUAACAUCGUGGAUCUUAAACGACUUGAUAUGUCUCGUAUUGUAAACAGAUCUACUUCAGGGUGCUUCAAAUCCCGAAUAAAUCUAAAACU